UGAACUUUUGAGGAUCAUAUUCUAGUGCUCCCUGGCUUUUUAAGAGACCCCAUGGAGUGACCCAUUUUCAUACAAAGCUUUCCUCAUCGCAAAUAGAAUGAAUAAUAAUCUCUUGGUCUUCAUCUUUCAUGUUCAUGAGGUUCUGUCACCAUAACCAGAUCUCCAAAGCUAGAGUUCUUACACCCAUGGCCUCUCUUCCAAGAUCUGGAAAUGGUGGGUGGAGAGAAACAGCACUGGAACUCUUUUUAAGUAUGAAAACACAUGAUAAUGUCCGCUGCAUAGUUUCAGUGAAGGUGGUAACAGAUCUGCGUAGUGGGUUGUUACUUACAAACUGGCGCUAUCCCCUCUGAGCUUUGUUAUAAGUGUGGUAUGAGCUGUUUUCUUCCACAUUUUCCUCUUCCAUCGCAUCCAUUAUUGCAAUUUCCUCCUUUAUCCAUAUUUCUAUUCUUCCUCUUGCCAUGCUCGCCAUCUAUGUUCAUAUUCCAUUGCAUCCGUCUUUCUUCCUAGAGAUUCAUGACAUCCAUGAAUCACACCCUCCUCACUUUAGAUUCCUACACAGGUAUCCCUCCUGAGCUUCUACUCAGUCACUCCGAUUUGUUUUAAACAAAAUAAAACUUGUUGGCAUAAAUCAAAGAAUGCUUGGCAAAUGUCAAGACAUUUAGAUGAUGCCAUUGCCAUAUUUUAUUACUCUGCUGUAUUAAAGAUUUUUUUUUUUAAGAAAUUCUGUAUUAAAAGAUAUUUUAUGAUCA
Molecule: long non-coding RNA, 749 nt
Organism: Cryptomeria japonica (Japanese cedar)
Lineage: Eukaryota; Viridiplantae; Streptophyta; Pinopsida; Cupressales; Cupressaceae
Exons: 2
Source: RefSeq, a predicted model, not a curated record